GAUGAACGCUAGCGGGCAAGGCUUAACACAUGCAAGGUCGAGGGGCAACACGGGUAGCAAUACCUGGGUGGCGACCGGCGCAAGGGUGCGUAACGCGUGAGCAACAUGCCCUAUACAGGGGGAUAAUCCAGGGAAACUUGGUCUAAUAUCCCAUAGUAUUUAGAGGUGGCAUCACCACUAAAUUAAAGCUUCGGUGGUAUAGGAUUGGCUCGCGUGACAUUAGCUGGAUGGUGGGGUAACGGCUCACCAUGGCGAUGAUGUCUAGGGGUUCUGAGAGGAAGACCCCCCACACUGGGACUGAGACACGGUCCAAACUCCUACGGGAGGCAGCAGUGAGGAAUAUUGGUCAAUGGCCGGAAGGCUGAACCAGCCAAGUAGCGUGCAGGAUGACUGCCUUAUGGGUUGUAAACUGCUUUUUUACGGGAAUAAUUAUGAUCACGUGUGAUUAUUUGCAUGUACCGUAAGAAUAAGGAUCGGCUAACUCCGUG
This 488-nucleotide ribosomal RNA is filed under the name uncultured bacterium. RNAcentral describes it as "bacterial SSU rRNA". It matches the Rfam family "Bacterial small subunit ribosomal RNA", at positions 28 to 507 of the family's 1533-position model. The record is from RNAcentral.